AGAGUUUGAUCAUGGCUCAGAGCGAACGUUAGCGGCGGGCCUAACACAUGCAAGUCGAACGAGAAUGUAGGCUUCGGUCUACUAGUAAAGUGGCGGACGGGUGCGUAACACGUGGGUAAUCUACCUUCCGGCGGGGGACAACAGUCCGAAAGGAUUGCUAAUACCGCAUACGUCAGCGGCGCCUACGGGCGCUGUUGGGAAAGAUGGCCUCUCCUUGGAAGCUAUCUCCGGAAGAUGAGCCCGCGUCCCAUCAGCUAGUUGGUGAGGUAAUGGCUCACCAAGGCUUAGACGGGUAGCUGGUCUGAGAGGAUGAUCAGCCACACUGGGACUGCGACACGGCCCAGACUCCUACGGGAGGCAGCAGUGGGGAAUAUUGGGCAAUGGGCGCAAGCCUGACCCAGCCACGCCGCGUGAGUGAUGAAGGCCUUCGGGUCGUAAAGCUCUGUGGGGAGGGACGAACAAGCCUGGGGCUAAUCACCCGGGCCCUGACGGUACCUCCUUAGCAAGCACCGGCUAACCCUGUGCCAGCAGCCGCGGUA
Molecule: ribosomal RNA, 539 nt
Filed under: uncultured Pseudomonadota bacterium
Lineage: Bacteria; Pseudomonadati; Pseudomonadota
Description: bacterial SSU rRNA
Rfam family: Bacterial small subunit ribosomal RNA
Source: RNAcentral